Molecule: non-coding RNA, 55 nt
Filed under: Helianthus annuus (common sunflower)
Lineage: Eukaryota; Viridiplantae; Streptophyta; Magnoliopsida; Asterales; Asteraceae
Source: RNAcentral
UGGUCGGGAGCUGGCGUCGCUCUCCUGAUGAGUCCAAGGCAGGACGAAACCCCAU